CGAAGGGGCGUAGCGUUGCUCGGAAUCACUGGGCGUAAAGGGCGCGUAGGCGGCCGAUUAAGUCGGGGGUGGAAAGCCUGUGGCUCAACCACAGAAUUGCCUUCGAUACUGGUUGGCUUGAGACCGGAAGAGGACAGCGGAACUGCGAGUGUAGAGGUGAAAUUCGUAGAUAUUCGCAAGAACACCAGUGGCGAAGGCGGCUGUCUGGUCCGGUUCUGACGCUGAGGCGCGAAAGCGUGGGGGAGCAAACAGGAUU
Molecule: ribosomal RNA, 256 nt
Filed under: uncultured bacterium
Lineage: Bacteria
Description: partial 16S ribosomal RNA
Rfam family: Bacterial small subunit ribosomal RNA
Source: RNAcentral